AUUGAACGCUGGCGGCAUGCCUUACACAUGCAAGUCGAACGGCAGCACGGGUGCUUGCCCCUGGUGGCGAGUGGCGAACGGGUGAGCAAUACAUCGGAACAUGUCCUGUAGUGGGGGAUAGCCCGGCGAAAGCCGGAUUAAUACCGCAUACGAUCUACGGAUGAAAGCGGGGGACCUUCGGGCCUCGCGCUAUAGGGUUGGCCGAUGGCUGAUUAGCUAGUUGGUGGGGUAAAGGCCUACCAAGGCGACGAUCAGUAGCUGGUCUGAGAGGACGACCAGCCACACUGGGACUGAGACACGGCCCAGACUCCUACGGGAGGCAGCAGUGGGGAAUUUUGGACAAUGGGCGAAAGCCUGAUCCAGCAAUGCCGCGUGUGUGAAGAAGGCCUUCGGGUUGUAAAGCACUUUUGUCCGGAAAGAAAUCCUUGGCCCUAAUACGGUCGGGGGAUGACGGUACCGGAAGAAUAAGCACCGGCUAACUACGUG
Molecule: ribosomal RNA, 486 nt
Filed under: uncultured bacterium
Lineage: Bacteria
Description: partial 16S ribosomal RNA
Rfam family: Bacterial small subunit ribosomal RNA
Source: RNAcentral